UCGGGAAUUUUGCGCAAUGGACGAAAGUCUGACGCAGCAACGCCGCGUGAGGGAUGACGGCCUUCGGGUUGUAAACCUCUUUUGUCAGGGACGAUGAUGACGGUACCUGGCGAAUAAGCCACGGCUAACUACGUGCCAGCAGCCGCGGUAAUACGUAGGUGGCAAGCGUUGUCCGGAUUUACUGGGCGUAAAGAGCGCGCAGGCGGUCGUUCAAGUCCCGUGUGAAAGCCCCCGGCUCAACUGGGGAGGGUCACGGGAUACUGAUCGACUCGAAGGCAGGAGAGGGUAGUGGAAUUCCCGGUGUAGUGGUGAAAUGCGUAGAUAUCGGGAGGAACACCAGUGGCGAAGGCGACUACCUGGCCUGUUCUUGACGCUGAGGCGCGAAAGCUAGGGGAGCAAACGGGAUUAGAUACCCCGGUAGUCCUAGCCGUAAACGAUGGACACUAGGUGUUGGUGGUAUCAACCCCGCAGUGCCGAAGCUAACGCAUUAAG
Molecule: ribosomal RNA, 492 nt
Filed under: uncultured Acidobacteriota bacterium
Lineage: Bacteria; Pseudomonadati; Acidobacteriota
Description: bacterial SSU rRNA
Rfam family: Bacterial small subunit ribosomal RNA
Source: RNAcentral